This 157-nucleotide ribosomal RNA is filed under the name uncultured bacterium. RNAcentral describes it as "partial 16S ribosomal RNA". It matches the Rfam family "Bacterial small subunit ribosomal RNA", at positions 356 to 508 of the family's 1533-position model. The record is from RNAcentral.
UGGGGAUUUUGGACAAUGGGCGCAGCCUGAUCCAGCCAUUCCGCGUGAGUGAAGAAGGCCUUCGGGUUGUAAAGCUCUUUCGCAAGGGAGGAAACGAUUUAGGUGAUAUCUAAGUUUAUGACGGUACCUUGAUAAGAAGCACCGGCUAACUACGUGC